RNAcentral lists this ribosomal RNA (809 nucleotides) under uncultured bacterium. RNAcentral's name for it is "bacterial SSU rRNA". It matches the Rfam family "Bacterial small subunit ribosomal RNA", at positions 8 to 796 of the family's 1533-position model. The record is from RNAcentral.
AGAGUUUGAUCAUGGCUCAGAGCGAACGCUGGCGGCGUGCUUAACACAUGCAAGUCGAACGUGAAAGGGAGCAAUCCUGAGUAAAGUGGCGUACGGGUGAGUAACACGUAGGUAAUCUACCGAAGAGUCUGGAAUAACCUGCCGAAAGGCGGGCUAAUACUGGAUAGAGCGACGGAAUCCGUAAUUGGGUUUUUCGGGAAAGGGAGGACGCAAGUCCCUUCGCUUUUCGAUGAGCCUGCGUCCGAUUGGCUAGUUGGUGGGGUAAAGGCCCACCAAGGCGAUGAUCGGUAGCUGGUCUGAGAGGAUGAUCAGCCACACUGGAACUGAAACACGGUCCAGACUCCUACGGGAGGCAGCAGUGGGGAAUCUUGCGCAAUGGACGAAAGUCUGACGCAGCCACGCCGCGUGAGUGAAGAAGGCCUUCGGGUUGUAAAGCUCUGUCGGGCGAGACGAAAACGCUUGAGGUGAAUAGCCUCAGGAAUUGACGGUACCGCCAAAGGAAGCACCGGCUAACUUCGUGCCAGCAGCCGCGGUAAUACGAGGGGUGCAAGCGUUGCUCGGAAUUAUUGGGCGUAAAGGGUAGGUAGGUGGUCUCGUUUGUCUGGGGUGAAAUCCUUGAGCUUAACUCAAGAAGUGCCUUAGAAACGGCGAGACUCGAGUCCUGGAGAGGGUCGUGGAAUUCCCGGUGUAGCGGUGAAAUGCGUAGAGAUCGGGAGGAACACCAGAGGCGAAGGCGGCGACCUGGACAGGAACUGACACUCAACUACGAAAGCGUGGGGAGCAAACAGGAUUAGAUACCCUAGUAGUCC